RNAcentral lists this ribosomal RNA (456 nucleotides) under uncultured bacterium. RNAcentral's name for it is "bacterial SSU rRNA". It matches the Rfam family "Bacterial small subunit ribosomal RNA", at positions 28 to 507 of the family's 1533-position model. The record is from RNAcentral.
GGUGAACGCUGGCGGCGUGCCUAACACAUGCAAGUCGAGCGGUGCAGUUUGAAGCUUCGGUGGAAAGCUGCAGUAGCGGCGGACGGGUGAGGAAAACGUAGGAACGUGCCCCUUGGAGUUGGAUAGCCACGGGAAACUGUGGGUAAACCGACAUAGACUCGAGAGAGUAAAGGCCGAAAGGUGCCAAGGGAGCGGCCUGCGGCCCAUCAGGUAGUUGGUAGUGUAAAGGACUACCAAGCCGACGACGGGUAGCCGGUCUGAGAGGAUGGCCGGCCACAAGGGCACUGAGAGACGGGCCCUACUCCUACGGGAGGCAGCAGUGGGGGAUUUUGGACAAUGGGCGAAAGCCUGAUCCAGCGACGCCGCGUGGAGGACGAAGCCCUUCGGGGUGUAAACUCCUUUUCUCAGGGAAAAAGGAUGAUGGUACCUGAGGAAUAAGCCCCGGCUAACUACGUG